This 253-nucleotide ribosomal RNA is filed under the name uncultured bacterium. RNAcentral describes it as "partial 16S ribosomal RNA". It matches the Rfam family "Bacterial small subunit ribosomal RNA", at positions 524 to 776 of the family's 1533-position model. The record is from RNAcentral.
UACGUAGGGUGCGAGCGUUGCCCGGAUUUAUUGGGCGUAAAGCGCGCGCAGGCGGUCCUUUAAGUCUGAUGUGAAAGCCCACGGCUCAACCGUGGAGGGUCAUUGGAAACUGGGGGACUUGAGUACAGAAGAGAAGAGUGGAAUUCCACGUGUAGCGGUGAAAUGCGUAGAGAUGUGGAGGAACACCAGUGGCGAAGGCGACUCUUUGGUCUGUAACUGACGCUGAGGCGCGAAAGCGUGGGGAGCAAACAGG